RNAcentral lists this non-coding RNA (582 nucleotides) under Schistosoma margrebowiei. RNAcentral describes it as "Eukaryotic small subunit ribosomal RNA". It matches the Rfam family "Eukaryotic small subunit ribosomal RNA", at positions 4 to 359 of the family's 1831-position model. The record is from Rfam by way of RNAcentral. Lineage: Eukaryota; Metazoa; Platyhelminthes; Trematoda; Strigeidida; Schistosomatidae.
CUGGUUGAUCCUGCCAGUAGUCAUAUGCUUGUCUGAGAGAUUAAGCCAUGCAUGUCUAAGUACAUACCUUAAAACGGUGAAACGGCGAAUGGCUCAUUAAAUCAGCUAUGGUUCCUUAGUUCGUAAAUGCUACAUGGAUAACUGUAGUAAUUCUAGAGCUUAUACAUGCCUUGAAUCCAUAGGACAGGGUUUUUACCAUAGGCCAGCUGUUGUAUAGGUCGAGAAAUAAGGAUACAUAAAGUAGGAAUAAAAGAGUGAAUAAAUAACGUAGUAAUUAAUUAAUUAAUUAAUUAAUAAUAAUAAUAUGAAUUGUUUGACUGUAAAUCAAAGCCAGAAUAGAGUUUUCAGUAAAUAUCACCAUUUCCAUUAUUUUCAUUAUAUUUGUGUGUGGGCUAUGAUACUGUCCAAGUGCCCAGACCGAAGCAGGUGGUUUACUUAGGGGGCCGCAUCCCAAGCCUUUGACAUAAAGGUCUGACCCACAUGGCAAUGGUGCAUCGUGAGGAAAUGCAGUCCCAUGGUAGCCGGUGACCAAGGAAUUGGUUCACACGCCAUUGGUUCCCUCGGGAUACUGGAGCCCAUGUG